This is a long non-coding RNA of Mirounga angustirostris (Northern elephant seal), 2055 nucleotides long. RefSeq lists it as uncharacterized. The record is from RefSeq and is a predicted model, not a curated record. The transcript has 3 exons. Lineage: Eukaryota; Metazoa; Chordata; Mammalia; Carnivora; Phocidae.
AAAGCACCAAUGCCCCUCUUGCCCUGUUGUCAAGCAGACCCCUGGGAGGGCCAGCCUCUUCUGUGGUGUGCGGCUGGGUGCUUUUGUGUUUGUGGACUGUGGCCUACCUGAGAAACAGGACCUGCUGUUUCAUCUCAGCAUUCUAUAUUGUAGGGCCUGGAGAAAAGACUGCCCCCGACAGAGCUCCUGAGUCACAAAGAGUGGGAACCCAGUGACUUACCCUUGCUUUCUAAAAGCGAAAGCUACACAGCAGUCAGCCCGCUUCCUUCCCACCUGCCACCUAGUGGUUCCCCGAAGAAUUGCAGCCUCCGGCUCAGGGCCAGAGGCCCCGGGGAUCUUGUUACCAUUCUGCAUUCUUAUCUGAUCUUCUUCAGAGGGCAUUAGCCCUGGAAGGCGCCUUAGAGAUCGUCUAAGCCAAUCUUCUCAGUUUACAGCUAAGGUGGUGCUGGGCAGGGCACUGAAGCUGGGAGACCCGGUAGCUGCCCUCAAGAAGCUUCCCGAGAAGGACGAUGAGCAUGCAAACAGGCCAUCACAGAAAAUGAGUGCUCUGUGGGAGGUAAAGAUGAAGGGCCAGGAGAAGCUGUGGAGAAACUGUGAAGGCUUCCCCAAGAGGUGCUACUGGGGCUAACUUCGGGUCGAGGGGUUCCUCCAGCAGGUGGCCCAAUGAUCUUCACACUUGGUGGACACUCUUCGCAUGCCUCUUCCCCAGACGGCCCUGUCCUAUCCUCUAUCUUCCAGGCUUUCUCCCCAGAGUUUCCUGAUCAGCCUGGUCAAUGCCUGGCCCUCCGCUCAUGAGUCUACGUGGACUCACAACGUGGCUGGCCAGGCGCCCUGCCAGAGUAUGGCUACAGCACAAGUGUACUGGGUGUAGCUUGCGCCCCUACACGGAUCCAUCCGGAAACCCAGCUCAGGCUCUUAACUCAUUCGUUGCCAUUCCUGUGGGAUCCCCCAUAUAGCCAGAGGUGCAAACUAAAGACAGAACACUGGUGCAGUGGAGGUGACGGUGCUGUAACGCAUCAGCGGGAUGUUCUGUGGGAUGUCUGGACAGCCUAGAUCUCUUCACGACGUCCUGACAGAGGGUGGAGCGUGAACAUGGUCCUGGGCAAAGCUCUGUGUGAAUCUUGUUGUCCAUCCCAUGGAAAUGCAAACUGUUUCUGCCCCUCUUUUCUGAUUAGAAUAGAAAAGAAUGCAUUUCCCAGAUCGUUGGCCACAUACUAUGUCCCUGCGGCCUUAUUAUGCUGCUCUCUCAAAGAUACCACAUCAGGGGUGCCCGGGUGGUUCAGUCAUUAAGCAUUUGCCUUCAGCUCAGGUCAUGAUCCUGGGGUCCUGGGGGCCCGGGAUGGAGCCCCGCAUCGGGCUCCCUGCUCCGUGGGAAGCCUGCUUCUCCCUCUCUCACUCCCUUGCUUGUGUUCCCUCUCUCGCUGUGUCUCUCUCUGUCAAAUAAAUAAAUAAGUAAGGAUACCACAUCAGCUGCAAUUGGGACUGCUCCUAGGUUGAGUUUGUUGUAGUCUGUUAUCAUCUUCCAGAAUUCAGCUGCGGAAGGAGAACUACGAUGAAGACCACCACCACUGCAUCCUUUGGAUCCCUAAGGCUGGCACCAAAUUCCACCAUCCUCCCCUCAGUGCAGUAUUGCUUGGCUGGGGAAGGGACAGUUUCAUCGGCUUUCACAGAGCUUUCUCCACUAUGAGAGCUCUUACCCCACAGGCCAAGGACCCACUGUGGGAAUUGUGCAAACUUCCAAGUAUGCUUAUCCCAGUUAUAUAUUCAGGGACCAGGCAAAUGAUCCCGGAUGGGUCUGCAGACCACAUGGACCCUUAGCCAGGACUGUAUGUAUUGUCCAGUUCCCAUAUGCCCCCAUUUUAGCAGGAGGACCGUGAUGACACUUCAGAUCUCGGUAUCUCACUCAAGUCCAACUCUGACUCUUGAGAUGUUCGGGUCUUCCUUUUCCCUAGUAUAGUGUUACUUGACUAAAUGACCUUUGGUCUUUUGGGGGAGGGGCUGGAUGGUCAUAUGGCGUAUACUUAAUAUGGUGUUGCAGGGGACCUGGCUAUGUCU